AUAGUUUCUUCUACUUCUAGUUGGAUAUUAGACUCUGGUUCGAGUGCUUAUAUAUGUACCUUAAUGUAGAGUCUAAUAGAAAGUAAGAGAUUGAGAGAAGGUGACAUGAUUCUUCGAGUCAGCAAUGGAGCAAAAGUUACUACAGAAGUCAUUGGUACUUAUCUUCUUCGAUUAUCAUCAGAUUUUAGAUUAGAUUUAAAAGACUGUUAUUUUAUUCUUGU
RNAcentral lists this long non-coding RNA (221 nucleotides) under Elaeis guineensis (African oil palm). RNAcentral's name for it is "long non-coding RNA (EGUI_LNC052277)". The record is from RNAcentral. Lineage: Eukaryota; Viridiplantae; Streptophyta; Magnoliopsida; Arecales; Arecaceae.